RNAcentral lists this ribosomal RNA (468 nucleotides) under uncultured bacterium. RNAcentral describes it as "partial 16S ribosomal RNA". It matches the Rfam family "Bacterial small subunit ribosomal RNA", at positions 28 to 507 of the family's 1533-position model. The record is from RNAcentral.
GACGAACGCUGGCGGCGUGCUUAACACAUGCAAGUCGAACGGAAAGGCCCUGCUUUUGUGGGGUGCUCGAGUGGCGAACGGGUGAGUAACACGUGAGUAACCUGCCCUUGACUUUGGGAUAACUUCAGGAAACUGGGGCUAAUACCGGAUAGGAGCUCCUGCUGCAUGGUGGGGGUUGGAAAGUUUCGGCGGUUGGGGAUGGACUCGCGGCUUAUCAGCUUGUUGGUGGGGUAGUGGCUUACCAAGGAUUUGACGGGUAGCCGGCCUGAGAGGGUGACCGGCAACAUUGGGACUGAGAUACGGCCCAGACUACUACGGGAGGCAGCAGUGGGGAAUAUUGCACAAUGGGCGGAAGCCUGAUGCAGCAACGCCGCGUGCGGGAUGACGGCCUUCGGGUUGUAAACCGCUUUCGCCUGUGACGAAGCGUGAGUGACGGUAAUGGGUAAAGAAGCACCGGCUAACUACGUG